UGUGUGCGUCAAAGAGUGGACGUUUGUUUUUUAAAAGGAGUAAGUUUUUAAGGAUCAAGUAAACGCCAAUGAAGGGUUAGAGAGGUUGUUGUGUGGCCCUGUUACUGUGGAGGCUUGUAGUGCCGCCUUUACCUGAAAUAGAAGAUAACUUAAAGGAUCGGAAGGAUGUGUCGCAACUGCAUGACCUGCGGACCCGUGUGCCUGAGGGCGGGCGUCGUGGUCAUCGCGGGAGUAGAACUGCUCCAUGACUGCCUGGUCCUCGGCCUAGUGGCGUGGCGGCUCGCCUUGACCUCAGUGCACUACGAGGCAACCGGGGAUGACAAGGACCCUCAGGAGGUGGUGGCGGUGGCGAUAGAGGUGAUCACGAGGAGCUUCGACCUGGUCUUCUCCAUCCUGCUGCUUUACGGCGUCAUCAAGGAGAGCAAGAGAUACAUCAUGGCGUGGUGGUGGUGGUCCGCGUCCUGCCUGGUCAUCUCGGUGUUCCUGUUCAUCUGGAUCGCCGUGUACCUGGCGAAGAGCGAUCAUCUUGUCGGAUUCCCCAUCGUCAUCUUCGCCUGCAUCGUCGCCCUGUCGAUCCUCUUCCUCGGGGUGGUCAGAACCUACGUGAAAUAUCUGGACAGACGGGAGAUGCUUCCGACCAUCCUGAUCAACGAAGACGACUACGACGACGAUGUAUGAGUGUGUGUGUGUGUGUGUGUGUGUGUGUGUGUGUGUGUGUGUGUCCCAUAACAUUCUGUGUGUGCAAUAAUAUAUCAGUAGUCACCCUCCCAAGGUAUAUUAGUGGGUUAGUGGUGAUCAGUUGCCGCAUGUCUGCCACUCCUCGUAAGAACAAAAUAGUUAUAACCUUAUAUUUUAGUUAUCUUUUAUUUUAACCAUCGUUUCCCUUCCUCUUCUCUGUAGUGAAUAAUGAUAAUGUUAAGUUAAGAGAUGGCAAUAUUCUGUGUACAUAUUCCUUUUACAUAAAAUUCGUGCAUGAAAAUAUUUUCCUCAUAACACAUUCUCCUUACAAUUUCCUUACACCAAUGAUAUUUUUCUUAUCAGAACACUUAUACGCUUUUGUCAUUAUAUAGGAAUGACAUAGCAUAUUGCAAGUGUUGUAUAUGCAUUUUUUUCUUUUUUUAGCUCUUCUUUUUCCCAAGGUGAUUUCCAGUGCGACGGUAGUGUAGGGUGACUUGUAAGGGAUAUAUUUUGUGUUUGUGUUUGCAUACGAAAAAAAUAUAUAUUACGAUAGAAACUAGUUAAGAAAUUAUUUGUUUUAAGAGAUUGGAAGUCAGCAGCUCAAUAACAAAGUGCAAAGAUAGAUAGAGACAGAUAGAUAGAUAGACCCAAGAGAAAGGGAUCAAGACUUCUGUGCUGUUUAUUUAUUUAUUUAUUUAUUUAUUUAUUUAUUUAUUGGCUACCUUCAUUUUUUGUUUUGUUUGUUUGUUUCACUUUGUUUUUGCCCUUGAUCUGCCUCCCUAGAUGUAAAAUAAAAAGUCAUACAGAGAGAGAGAGAGAGAGAGAGAGAGAGAGAGAGAGAGAGAGAGAGAGAGAGGGGGGGGGCCAGAUGGAAAUAGGGUGCCAAGAGAGAAAGGCUAGGGCGCAGAAAAGGAAAAUAAAUAAAAAAUACUACCUAGCCAUUCACCUCCUCAUCACCGCAGAUAGACAGAUAGAUAGAUAGAUUGCGGCGAGCUGCAUCCAAUGAAUGUCAGCCGGGUAAGGAAGGGCUGAUGGGAAGCGUGGGAAUGGUCGCUAUCCUCAGACGCUUCCUCCCCUUACAUCAACUCUCCAAAGGCCGAAAACUAUACCAAUCGCGUUCUAACGAGUGUAUUUAUUGGGUUCAUGGGACAUAGGAAGGGUCAGACUACCAGCAGGGUCUUACAACUACCCCUGGAAAUGCCUCAAACUCCCACGAAAGCCUUGUAUAAUUGUGGUUGUCUGAGGGGAAUUCUUGGGUUCUAACGAGUGUAUUUAUUGGGUUCAUGGGACAGAGGAAGGGUCAGACUACCAGCAGGGGCUUAAAACUACCCCUGGAAAUGCCUCAAACUCCCAUGAAAGCCUUGUCGUAUAAUUUUGCUUGUCUGAGGGAUAAUCUUGGAAGCGUCCGUUGCCAUCCUUCUUGCCCACAGAAAGAUGAGUUGUGGCCCAUACACCGCGAUGGAUGUCUUAGAUGAUGGACUGAGUACCUUAGUGUGUGUGUGUGUGUGUGUGUGUGUGAAUUUUUAUAGUAAACGAGGAAGCUCAAGGGAAAAAAAUAAAUUAUGUCUACGCGGGAAAGAAUGCAAGUGAAGGGGUAAAGAUUAUUAAAUGUAUAUAACAAGAAAAUAAAUAGCUUGGUGAACAUUACAUUAUAAAGCGGAGGAAUAUCACUGGAUUGGACCGCUGAAGGAGGGUGGUUAAUUUAGACGAAAGGAAAGAGGAGAGACAAGGAAAAAAAAAUGUAUACGAACUUUAAAAAAUCCCACAAAAAAAUAAACCACCUCGAUUUCAGUAUAUCAAUAACAUGUCUCCAACCCAAGUAAGUCUUAUAAUUCUAAGUUCUCUUCAAUAUAGAUAUUUAAACGGCCUAACAAACUUUCUAUUGUAGGAGCCGAAAGGGUCUGAAAUUUUUUUUUUUACAACAAAGGAGACAGCUCAAGGGCACACAAAAAAGGAAACAAUAAUAAAAAAAAAAGCCCGCUACUCGCUGCUCCAAAAAACGGGUCUAGAAGCUACAUUUAUAUAAUUUUGGAGGGUUAGGGUUGUGGUGGUGCUUCGAGGCGUAGAGGGGGAAUUCCAGGUUACUCCAAAGGCCCUUCUCACCCUCCCUCUCCCCUACCUGAUAACGGAAGGAGUGAUAAAGGGAUAAAUCUGUCUUUUGUCACCUCAUCCUCUGAACUCCAUCACGUGCACUCCUACAAUAUCUUUGCAUUUCCCUUCCUUUAUUAAUGUCCUCCAGUUCUCUAUAUCUCUGGGUUUCCUUUCCUUUAAGCCCUCCAAUCCAGCCUACCCGUAUAUGUACCCUCUGUGCCUUCUAAGUUAUAUUGAAGGCACUUGUAGCUAUAGAUCAGUAACCUUAGGGCCAUAUUCUUAAACAUUUCGUUAGGCAAUCACACACACACACACACACACACACACACACACACACACACACACAUUAGACAAGGCUUUCUUUGGUGUUGUGGGCCUCUCCACGGGUAGUUUUAUGUCCCUGAUAAUAGUUUGAUAAAGCCUCUUACACCGUGAAAGUAAAAAUAGCUGAAGAGAACGCGAUUUGUCUCCUCUUCGGCGUUUGGAAAUAUUCUAUGCGAGAGGCGGACACGUCUGAGAACACCGACUUUAAUAUCAGCAUAAAAAUGAAUUCCACGAUAAGUAUGCAGAUAAAUUAUACCCGCAAGUUGAAAUCAGAUAAAUAGAUAGAUUGAUAGAGAGAAAGAAUGAGAGAAAGAAUAAAAGGAAGGGAAAAAGAAAACAAAUAAAAUAAGAAUAAAGGCAAAGAAGAUAAAAAAUAAAUGAAAAAAGUAUAUAAAAGAACCCCCCCAAAAAAGGAAUUAAAAACAAAAACGGAAAAACUCAGAAAUUGGUUUGUCAGAGAGAGAGAGAGAGAGAGAGAGAGAGAGAGAGAGAGAGAAACACAACCAACAGAAACACGCACUAACCUUGAGACGCCAUUCUCCUCACUUCGACAUAUCUUGACAAUCUUCUAAACUUUCCCAGCCCGAGUGACGAGGAGAUAAGAUUACAGUUUUUUGAUAGUGGGGCUUUUUUUUAACGCAUUCGGCCUUUCCAACUUAGUGUAAUAUAUCUUUUUUCCUGGGUGUUUAUGCCGAUUUUUUAGUGUGCCAAUAUUUUAGUGAAUGCCGAAUUUUUUGUGUGUAUGCCGAAUUUUUUGUGUGUAUGCCGAUAUUUUAGGGUGUAUGCCGAUUUUUUAGGGUGUAUGCCGAUUUUUUAGGGUGUAUGCCGAUUUUUUAGUGUAUGCUGAGGGUUGGUAUUUCAGAAUGUUUGAUCUUCAGGUUGUACGUAUGUUGGUGGGUUUGUUUGUUUGUUUGUUUGUUUUUACAGCAGAGGAGUCAGUUCAAGGGCAUAAAAAAGGAAACAAAUGUGAAAAAAAAGCCCGCUACUCACUGCUCCUAAAAAGAGUUAGAGGAGUGGCCGAUAGAUACGUCAAUUUGGGAUGUUGGUGCACUCGGAUUCGUUAGUGAUACUUGCUUUUUCUGUAUAGUAUAGGACUCAUCUCAAGGGCAAAAGUAUAGGGAAAAAAAGUAUAUAUGAGUCCCGGCCAAAAGGGAGGUCAAUAUUGGAUGGAGAGAAGUUAUGAUGUUCCCCGCUUAUGGUGAAAUGUUAAUUGGUGCUACUUCAAGAGAAUACCACGAUAAGUCACAAUACAGUAGACUAUUAACACUCCGCCCGGUUAACCUGUUUCUUCCUCUCUUCCUUUCAUUCUUUUUUCGAUUUUUCUUUCAGCCAUAACCAGUUUGUAGUGGUAAGCAAAAAGAAAAGAAAAAAAAAAAAAACGUAUCUCCAGGGUCCACUUUCUCUGCUCCUCUCCUCUGAACCUCUCGAGAGCAGUGCAGUGCUUGACCUCCUGCUCCGCCCCCCGCCCUCUUUCGCCCUCAUCCCCGCUCCCCCUCUGCUCCCCCCUUCAACCCCCCUAUCCCUCCUCUUCCCACCGUGAUAUCUCUGCCACUCAUUGUGAUAGACCUUUUUUUUUCUGUUGUACUCUUAGGUUGGACGAACUGCAUCCUUGUAGGGGUAUUGUUGGAUUUGCCUCCUCAGUAAAAAAAUAAAAAAAGUAGUACAUGUAUAAGAAUUUAAUCUCCCUUCAAAUCCCCCCAAAAACGUUUAAUUAAUCAGUGUAUGCAUUUCAACUCCAUAAUGAAAGUCUCGUUUAUGAAAAAUGUUUGAUGCGGACAUUUUGUGGGUCUUUAAUUGCUUAUAUGGGAUGCGAAAUGACCUCGAGCUGUUAUGUCUGGUAUUUUAAUUCAAGUCUCUCUCUCUCUCUCUCUCUCUCUCUCUCUCUCUCUCUCUCUCAUUGAUAGUAAAGUUGGGGACAUAGGUUAAGCUACGCGUGGCUUCUGUGCUCAUCUCCGUCUCAUUGGCCCUUGAGCUUGAGGCAGAUAAGAAAGACCCCAUCAACUCGUGACUCUUGUCGGUCUCCUCGUUUUCCUUUCUUGUUUUAUGGCAGACUUAGAAAGACCAAGAAAAAGGUAAAAUGUAUGCACUGUCUACCAAGCUCAGUGACAUCCGGGUUAGGCUUCCACCGUCAAUCUUCCCAGGCUCCUCCAGUUUUUUUUUUUUUUUAGUUGUUUAUCAAGGGUAUAGUAAUAAAAGGAAGUUUGUUAGUGGUGAAGGUACAGGUGGGGGAGAAGGAAAGACAAUAUAGGAGUGUAUAGUUGUAUGGUGUAAGUUCCAUAGUUGUUCUGGUGUUGUUUAUUGUUUAUCGGGGACCUUAUUUGUAUACCCCCGGCGUGCUAUUUAUUUAUUUAUUUAUUUAUUUAUUUAUUUUUUUACAGCAGAGGAGUCAGCUCAAGGGCAUAAAAAAAGGUAACAAAUGUGGAAAUAAAAGCCCGCUACUAUUUAUUUAUUUGUCCAGGUUACUGAGCCCGGUGUUAUCUUGUUAGCCUGAGUAAUGUGGUUUUCCAGUGAGUUUAAGAACUGUCAAGGACUCCUACCGAUAGUGUGGUUAUCUAUGGGACGGUAUGCUCGUGUUGCUUCUUCGCCUUCAGUGUCCUCUGCGCCUCCAAGUAGCGCAUUGCCACGUCGCCGCAGCUUGCAAUCUUACCUGGAUAUUCUUAAACGUGUAAAGCGAUACUUCCCUUCAGACUUCAAGCUUUCACUGAUCCAAGAUGGCGGUUCAGGGUCCAAGGGUACUCACGCCUCGCCUCGCCGCGGCUCUCAACGCCACACGCCACGCCCAGGAGUCCUUUAAACCUCAGCAGCACGUAAGAGGGACAUCAACAUCCACUGCGCCGCCCCAGACAACACUGCACGCUGCCAACCUCACACAGCAAGAAGUUAUCAUGCAGCGGCUGCGUGAGAUGGCGGAGGCAGCGAAGGGAGGCGCCGAGUCACGGAUGUCCCCGCAGCAGCUGAGCCAAAUCGGGGCGCACCUCUUAGCCUGGCGAGUGACGUUGACCACCAGUGAAGAGGAGUUGCUGAAUGCGUACCGCGGCUGGGUGCUUACCGCGGAUUACUAAGAAUAAGGAGGAUGAGGGAUAAGUGUGGGUUUAACGAUAAGGGAAGGAUAGGGAAAGGAUGAAGUGUGGGGUGUGUGUUCAAGAAUAAGAGAGGAAAAAAGGAAAAGAUGAGGAAUAGGGUGUUUGACUAAGGAUAAGGAGGGAUAAGGAAAGGGUGACGGAUAGGAUGUGUGUCCAAGGAUAAGGGACACAUAGGUAAAGGGUGAGGGGUAGGGUGUGUCCAAGAAUAGAUGGAUAAGGAAAGGAUAUAUGUCAAACUAUUCAUAUUAAUACGAUGGAUACAUUCAGGAAGAGGUUAAAGUUCAUCGACAGUGAGGUUGGGUGGGGUAAGGAUCACAGGAGCUGCCUUGUAUUGACCUAAACGCUUCUUCCAGGCUCCCUAUGAUCUUUUAGGGUGUGUGAGGAAUAAGGGAAAGGUGAGAGAUGAUGAUUUUUUCAGGAUAUGAGAGGAGUAAAGGAAAAAUGAGAGGAAGGGUGUGUGUGAGUAUGAGUGUUUCCUCUUGUUUUUUAUAUGCUUGUUUAAUGGCAGACGAAGAUAGACUAAGGAAAAGGGUAGAGUGUAUGCAAAUGACUGUACACCAAGCUCAGGACACCUCUCCUCCCGAAAUUGACCUCUCUUUCGGCCCCCUCUUUUGAUUUUUUUUUUUUUUUUUUAGGAGCAGCGAGUAGCGGGCUUUUUUUUUUAUUAUUGUUUCCUUUUUUUGUGCCCUUGAGCUGUCUCCUUUUCUGUAAAAAAAAAAAAUCGUCUUGCUCAAACAUUUCGGCGCCCCAAACCUCAAAUUUGACACGGUUUUCAUAGGAGUUUUGGGCAUUUCCAGGGGUAGUUUAAUGACCCUGGUGGCAGUUUGACCCUUCUUCUGUACCAUGAAUCUAUAAAAACUACUCUUGAGAACCCAGUUGAUCUCGUUUUUGGCCUUUGGAAAUAGUUGAUGCGAGAGGCGGAAGGGUCUGAGAAUACCAACCUGACUGUCCCUGUCCCCCUGCCUGAUCUGUUCGUCCUUUCCAUGACUUGUUUGCCACCUUUUUUGUUUACUCCCGUGGCUUUUUAUUUCCCUUUGGCGGAAGCGUUUUGACUCCCCAGACAUUAUAUGAAACUUGGGGUAAUUUGAUGGUAAUGACGAAAAUGAUGGCGAUAAUAAAAGUGAUGAUUGCUUU
Molecule: RNA transcript, 7310 nt
Organism: Eriocheir sinensis (Chinese mitten crab)
Lineage: Eukaryota; Metazoa; Arthropoda; Malacostraca; Decapoda; Varunidae
Exons: 8
Source: RefSeq, a predicted model, not a curated record